Long non-coding RNA from Colossoma macropomum (tambaqui), 389 nucleotides. RefSeq lists it as uncharacterized. The record is from RefSeq and is a predicted model, not a curated record. The transcript has 3 exons. Lineage: Eukaryota; Metazoa; Chordata; Actinopteri; Characiformes; Serrasalmidae.
UGUUCUACAGAGUGACAGAAAAUCGACAGAAGAGGAGAGAAUGAAAAUUGAAGAAUCUGCUCUGCUGACCGAUUCUCACAGGGUUUGCGACUGAGGCAGGUUGACAUGAUGGCGGAUGGUAUAGCAGGGAGCUCUACCACCUUAUCAAAGAUGGCAAAGAAAAUAAGAGAAGUUUGCAUCACAGCAAUGGAAAAGCGAAGGAGACAAAGGGCCACACAAGAGAAAGGCAUUAAUAUGGAGUUGGUCAGCCUUUGCAGCCAUAACAGCUUCCACUCUUCUGGGAAGCUUCCUGCAAGACUUUGGAGUGUUUCGGUGGGAAUUUUUGCCCAUUCAUCCAGAAGAGCAUUUGUGAGGUCAGACACUGAUGUUGUUCUUCCACACCAAACUCA